UGGGGAAUAUUGCNCAAUGGGGGGAACCCUGACGCAGCCAUGCCGCGUGAAUGAAGAAGGCCUUAGGGUUGUAAAGUUCUUUCGGUAUUGAGGAAGGUUGAUGUGUUAAUAGCACAUCAAAUUGACGUUAAAUACAGAAGAAGCACCGGCUAACUCCGUGCCAGCAGCCGCGGUAAUACGGAGGGUGCGAGCGUUAAUCGGAAUAACUGGGCGUAAAGGGCACGCAGGCGGUUAUUUAAGUGAGGUGUGAAAGCCCCGGGCUUAACCUGGGAAUUGCAUUUCAGACUGGGUAACUAGAGUACUUUAGGGAGGGGUAGAAUUCCACGUGUAGCGGUGAAAUGCGUAGAGAUGUGGAGGAAUACCGAAGGCGAAGGCAGCCCCUUGGGAAUGUACUGACGCUCAUGUGCGAAAGCGUGGGGAGCAAACAGGAUUAGAUACCCUGGUAGUCCACGCUGUAAACGCUGUCGAUUUGGGGGUUGGGGUUUAACUCUGGCGCCCGUAGCUAACGUGAUAAAUCGACCGCCUGGGGAGUACGGCCGCAAGGUUA
RNAcentral lists this ribosomal RNA (547 nucleotides) under uncultured bacterium. RNAcentral's name for it is "bacterial SSU rRNA". It matches the Rfam family "Bacterial small subunit ribosomal RNA", at positions 355 to 896 of the family's 1533-position model. The record is from RNAcentral.